AUGGUAUCGGGAGACCAGGCUCCGGAAGAGAAGUACCCUACCUCGGCAGCGGCGGCGGCGGCAACCAUUAAUCCCGUGCUGCUAGCAUUGGCGUGCUGUGGCAACUCGGGGGGACUGGGUUAUUUUCUCCACGGAGAUGAAGGCGCGCAGCAGUAUCGGAUGGACAGCCAAGGUCAAGAACUUAUCGCCAAUGCUGUGAUGAUCUCCGGCGACGGGAGCCUGCCUUCCGACGAUGUAGAAGAAGGCGCUGCCGUGUCGGCGCUGUCUGCCUCGUCCGUCCUGGAGGGGGUCACCGCCGAAGGGGACACCGCGCUCCACGCCGUGGCCUGCUCUGGUGACGGCGACAACUUCCUGAGGAGCGCAGAGGUCAUCUGGAAGGCCAAGAACCUCCUUUUCUCGCAGAAUAACAACGGCGACACGCCUCUGCACUGCGCCGCACGGGCGGGGAACUCCCGCAUGGCGCUUCAUCUCAUCGCUCUUGCUAGAGGAGAAGACGGCAGCGACAGCAACAGAGUGAAGGCGAUGCUAGAAAUGGAGAACAAGCUCAUGGAGACGGCUUUGCACGACGCCGUCCGGAUUGGGAAUAAUGAUUUGGUCAAGAUGCUGAUGGAGGAGGACUCCGAGCUGGCCUGUUUCCCAAAAGGCGGCACUUCAGCUCUCUACAUAGCCGUCCUGACGGAGAAUACAACCAUUGUGGAGACACUGUAUCAAACGAGCCACGGGAAUCUCUCCUACUCUGGUCCAAAUGGGCAAAAUGCAUUGCAUGCUGCUGCACUCCGAGGCCCAGUACUUACAGGAAUGCUGCUGGAAUGGAAAAAGGGUCUUUCGACACAAAAGGAUGAAAAUGGGAGUACUCCUCUUCACUUUGCGGCAGCUCUCCUUGAUGAUACAAACCAAGUGCCUCAAGACAACUUAUCUUUGCAUUCAGAGGAAGCCAACCCUGCCAAAAGAAAGGGGCAAACUCCUCUUUGCUUCUCUGUGUCUCUGCUACGCAGAAGCCGGCAAAGAAGCGUCUGUUGGCAAUUGCUGAACGCUAACCCGGCCGAACUAUAUCAACCGGACUGCCAUGGGAUGUACCCCAUACAUGUCGCCGCCUCUAUGGGCGCAACUGGAAAUGUAAUCAUGUUUGCUAAGAAGUAUCCCAGUAGUGCCGGCCUGCGUGACAGCAACGGAAGGACGUUCCUUCAUAUUGCCGUCCAGAAGAAGAAAAGGGGUUUAGUCGAUUUUGCGAGCAAAAAUCACUCCCUAAGGUGGGUUCUCAAUAUGCGCGACAAUGGUGGCGACACUGCACUUCACCUAGCGGUCCAAGCUGGGAGCCUUACAAUAUUCUGUGCUCUGUUUGGGAACCGGCAUGUGGAUAUGAAUGUCACCAACAAGAAAGGGCAGACUCCUCUCGACAUAUCACGAUUCAUGAUCCCACCAGAAAUGUUCUACAAUCAGAAUUCUGAAGCACAUAUACGCCGCGCGCUCACAAUGGUAGGUGCGAGAAGCGGCGCCUCUCGCCAGGAUCACUUUGAAGAAAGCUAUAACAAACUGCACCGAGCAUCGAAAGACAGAGGCAGUGACACGGAGAAUGUGAAAGACACAACGCAAAACCUAUGUAUUGGCUCUGUUCUCAUAGCAACAGUGACGUUCGGGGCCACUUUCGCCCUACCCGGUGGUUACGUAUCCGAUGACCACGCUAAUGGAGGCACACCAACCCUCGCCGGGAGGUAUGCUUUUGAUGCAUUCAUGAUGGCAAACAUGUUGGCCUUCAUUUGCUCCUCGAUAGCCACAGUCGGCUUCAUGUUUUCAGGGGCGUCCAUGGUUAACCUGGCGAGUCGCAAGUUCCACAUGCGCUCGUCCGUAUAUUUCAUGGCGACAUCGGUCACUAGCCUGACUGCCGCCUUUGCGCUAGGAGUGUACAUGGUGCUAGCUCCGGUUGCUUACAAGACUGCCGUUGCCAUGUGUGUCAUGAGUCCCUCCAUUCUGCUGUGGAAAAAUGUGGAUUACUGGAAACGAUGGGCUCUUCUUCCUCGACCGUUUUAUGCUAGGAAGGGGCUAUCCUGGACACUGAAACAGUUCGGCUCACUGAUCAUCCAGAGCACUCUAACUGAAUUUUGGCCUUUCAUGUUAAUCUUCUGUUGGGCUGCAUAUGCAAGGACAUAG
This 2148-nucleotide ribosomal RNA is filed under the name Triticum aestivum (bread wheat). RNAcentral's name for it is "partial small subunit ribosomal RNA". Lineage: Eukaryota; Viridiplantae; Streptophyta; Magnoliopsida; Poales; Poaceae. The record is from RNAcentral.